RNAcentral lists this long non-coding RNA (454 nucleotides) under Capra hircus (goat). RNAcentral's name for it is "lncRNA (ENSCHIG00010013130.1)". Lineage: Eukaryota; Metazoa; Chordata; Mammalia; Artiodactyla; Bovidae. The record is from RNAcentral.
AUGACCCACUUGAUCCAUUCACCUCCCCCUGCCCCACCCCCCGGGAUGUGUGUAUUUCCUUCCUGUUGCUUUUCAGGCCUUAGGCCCGGGCCGGGGCGGUGGACACCCUGGGUGACGUUGGAGGAGGCGUCCCCUCCGGGGUCGGGCAGCCCCGCCCCGCCCCCGCUGCGCCCCAGCAUACGUCACGGCCAGCCCCGCUUGCCCCGCACGCUGCAGUCGGAGAAGCAGCUCUUGGUCAGGCCGCCGUGCCGGGCCCAAGCCUGCCUGCGGGCCUCUGCGCCCAGGACCAGGCACCAGUGCCCCUCAAAGGGAACGGAGGGCUGCUGACCACACGCCACAGCCCCGACACUGUGGAGGCCUGGUGGACGGGAGUGACGGGCUCUCAGAUGUCGUCAAGGGAAAGCAGGUGUCUGCCCCGUGGAUGGAAGCUUCCGGCCCCUAAGCUUCGAACCUG